This is a non-coding RNA of Benincasa hispida (wax gourd), 1527 nucleotides long. NCBI's taxonomy places the organism in Eukaryota, Viridiplantae, Streptophyta, Magnoliopsida, Cucurbitales, Cucurbitaceae. The record is from RefSeq and is a predicted model, not a curated record.
UCGUGGUUAAAGGCCAGAUUUCUCAUAGUGGAUUUUAAUAUAUAUAGAGGCUACCUUGGGAAGUGUGCCACUAAAGGAAAAAAAAGAGAGGGUCUUCUUCUCCUUACACUUUCAGCUGUGCGAAGCAUCACCCUGGUUUUUUUUCUUCACUCCCCAUGGAAAUACCCCUUUAUCAACGAAAAAUAGACGCACGACGCUCAUCCCGCCAGUUUCCGCUGUACUCUACCCGUCGUAGGUCAUUCGCCGCAGUCUACAGGUGGUCCGUCAGAUGCCCACCGCUCAUUCACGCCCGAGCAUAGCAGUUAGCCCCGCAAGCCACGCUACAAGUUCGUACGUCCGUCCGCACACCUUGUCCAGCCGCCACCGCUCUCCCGGCCCUAUUCGCCACCAUCGUGGGUUGUCACUGCCAACACUAGAGGUCGCUGGAAUCUUGAGAUUUUGGUUUUUCAAUCGAAGUUCUGAUGUAUCAAGGAUCAUUGUUUAGCAACACAAGAACCCGAUUGAUGACUUUUUGUGAGUCUCGAUUCUUGUUCUUUAAGGAUUUUGGUUUAUCAAUGGAUAGUGGGCCUAACUUUUGGUUAAAUCUUGAUUGUGGACGAUUAAUUUGGGUUUUCAAAGAGGUUUGAAGUUGCCAUCCAACAUUAUUAAAAGCAUUUUGACGUGUUUUGGUAAGUGUGUUAAGCCUUGGAACUCUUGAUUUAAAUAUGGUAUGUUGGAAUUUGAGGAUCUAACUAUUAUUAUUGAAUUUGCUUAGAUUGGAACUUUUGUUUGGGAGUUUGGAAGUGAAUUCAAAUUUAACCACACUUUGGAUAAAAGGGGCUUUAGAUUAUUAUUUUGCUUAGGCUUAAAUCUAAGGUAAGUGAUUUACUACCGGUUCCCCCUCAAACCCCAAGUAGAUAUUAAGAUUGUAAGUACACUGAAAGUAUGUCUCCAUUAUGAUGGAAUGUUCUACCAUGAUUGACUGAUAGAUGACUGUUGAGAUUGUUCUGAAAACUCAUGAGAUAUGUUACUAUGGUUAUUAUAUUAUGUUAUGGCUUGAUAUGAACUUGGACGAUGUAUGUUGCAUAGACUGAUAGUGGUUGUUAGCACUCCUAUCAGACUGUGUUCAUCUCCUGGUAUGUUUUAGCAUCCUUAUGGGAUUUCCACCUAUGAUUAUGUUAUUGUGUUUGUUUGAAAUCACUUCCUAUGAAAGCAUACUUUUAGGUUUACCCCUUAUACCUACGGCUACACCUAUGCCUAUGUUCGGGAUGUACACCUUUGUCUUGAUAGGAAGGCUAUAUGUACACCUAGUGGGCCUAAUGGUAGGUCACUUACUAUAUUCUUAUACUCACUCUUUUCUCUAUAUUUUUUUUGGUAAAGAAAAUGAUAGAAUGGCGAAUGACAAGAAGAAUCCGUGACCAGGCCUUGAGAAUUGACAGCGUUUCUGCUUAUGUUUUUCUUAUAUUUGCAAGUUUUAGCUUUGUAAUUGAAUCUUUAAAUUCUUUGAAUAUUUCAUUCGUUUUUUUAUUUAAUUUGUUUUUAUUUAAA